Molecule: transfer RNA, 76 nt
Filed under: Candidatus Nanopelagicaceae bacterium
Lineage: Bacteria; Bacillati; Actinomycetota; Actinomycetes; Candidatus Nanopelagicales; Candidatus Nanopelagicaceae
Description: tRNA-Arg
Rfam family: tRNA
About the family: Transfer RNA (tRNA) molecules are approximately 80 nucleotides in length. Their secondary structure includes four short double-helical elements and three loops (D, anti-codon, and T loops).
Source: RNAcentral
GCGCCCGUAGCUCAACGGAUAGAGCAUUUGACUACGGAUCAAAAGGUUAGAGGUUCGAAUCCUCUCGGGCGCGCAA